CCAGCGGAAUGCGUUAGCAUGGAAUAAUAAGAUAGGACUUUGUUUCUAUUUUGUUGUCUCUGAGGAACAAAGUAAUGAUUGAUAGGGAUAGUUGGGGGUGCUCGUAUUUAACGGUCAGCGGUGAAAUGCAUGGACCCGUUAAAGACGAACCUAUGCGAAAGCAUUCACCAAGGAUAUCUUCU
This 182-nucleotide ribosomal RNA is filed under the name uncultured Vampyrellida. Its description in RNAcentral is "partial small subunit ribosomal RNA". It matches the Rfam family "Eukaryotic small subunit ribosomal RNA", at positions 797 to 972 of the family's 1831-position model. The record is from RNAcentral. Lineage: Eukaryota; Endomyxa; Vampyrellida.